UGCAGUCGAGCGAAUUGUUGAGUUUACUCAACAAUUAGCGGCGGACGGGUGAGUAACACGUGGGCAACCUGCCUAUAAGACUGGGAUAACUUCGGGAAACCGGAGCUAAUACCGGAUAUGUUCUUUUCUCGCAUGAGAGAAGAUGGAAAGACGGUUUCGGCUGUCACUUAUAGAUGGGCCCGCGGCGCAUUAGCUAGUUGGUGAGGUAAUGGCUCACCAAGGCAACGAUGCGUAGCCGACCUGAGAGGGUGAUCGGCCACACUGGGACUGAGACACGGCCCAGACUCCUACGGGAGGCAGCAGUAGGGAAUCUUCCGCAAUGGACGAAAGUCUGACGGAGCAACGCCGCGUGAACGAUGAAGGCUUUCGGGUCGUAAAGUUCUGUUGUUAGGGAAGAACAAGUACCAGAGUAACUGCUGGUACCUUGACGGUACCUAACCAGAAAGCCACGGCUAACUACGUGCCAGCAGCCGCGGUAAUACGUAGGUGGCAAGCGUUAUCCGGAAUUAUUGGGCGUAAAGCGCGCGCAGGUGGUUCCUUAAGUCUGAUGUGAAAGCCCCCGGCUCAACCGGGGAGGGUCAUUGGAAACUGGGGAACUUGAGUGUAGAAGAGGAAAGUGGAAUUCCACGUGUAGCGGUGAAAUGCGUAGAGAUGUGGAGGAACACCAGUGGCGAAGGCGACUUUCUGGUCUAUAACUGACACUGAGGCGCGAAAGCGUGGGGAGCAAACA
RNAcentral lists this ribosomal RNA (730 nucleotides) under uncultured Paenibacillus sp. RNAcentral's name for it is "bacterial SSU rRNA". It matches the Rfam family "Bacterial small subunit ribosomal RNA", at positions 56 to 774 of the family's 1533-position model. Lineage: Bacteria; Bacillati; Bacillota; Bacilli; Caryophanales; Paenibacillaceae. The record is from RNAcentral.